RNAcentral lists this transfer RNA (71 nucleotides) under Marmota monax (woodchuck). RNAcentral describes it as "tRNA.Ala". Lineage: Eukaryota; Metazoa; Chordata; Mammalia; Rodentia; Sciuridae. The record is from RNAcentral.
GGGGUUGUGGCUCAGGGGUAAAGUGCUUGCUUAGCAUGUAUGAGGCACUGGGUUCCAUCCUCAGCACCACA